ACAGCGCAGCGGACAAUGGAAAUAUGCUCCUGCCUUGCCUCUCCUUCUCCUACGUCCUCAAAAAAAAGAUAGAAAAAGGGAAGAAGUGUUCCUUGGGAGAAUUUCAAUGGGUAGGUUUCUAGAGCGACACCAUGUCUAAUUACAGACAAGGUAGGAAUGAAAGGCUGUAGGCCUCUCUCUCGCUUUCUCUCUCUCCAGGUCAGGAGGAGGCUGGUGGAGGGGGAGAGAGAGAGAUGUCCUCCGAAUAAGAAAUGAACAGACUGACCUUUUCAGAGCUGCUGAAAGAGAAAACCAGAUGUAUUCCUCAAGAGUCACUAUGACUGAAGGGUGAUAAAGACUUUCAUUGUGCACUUGAAUAAAAGGAAAGCUAACCAGAAAACAGCAGCUGAUAAUAGUCAGGCCAGGCUGCGCUAUUGUGCAAGCCACAACUGUUCCCGCCUUGGCCUAGACCACCACGGCUUGCCUGAAGACUAGGUUGUAAAGAAAACGGGCUCCCCUUCCCCCCUCGGCCCUGCCCUCUCCUAAGAGAGGUUUUCAAGAAAGUACUAGCAAUUAUACAAGCAUCUAUCGAUGCUUCCCUGCAGUUUUAAAGAGCUUUGCAGGGAUCUCCAGCUUGCUUUUUUUUAUAAAAAAAAAAGGUUCUGUGAAGCCUCAGUUCUGAAAUUCUCCAGGCCCCCAAGUCAAGCUGUGGUAGUGAGUACUUUUCAUUUUUAAUUUUCGGCCAUGCUAAUCCACCCAGAGAUCCCCGCGUGUUGCGCUUGCGUCUGCCACCUCUGUGAGUUUUAACAUUUCGGGUGACCGGGAAGAAAAACGGUUCAAGGAUGGAGUCCAUUGGUUCAGAAGGAGAAGGGGAGCCUCUGUGAGUUGAGACAAUGCAACACAAAGAGAAAAACGUGUUUGGAAGGAAGGGCACGAGCGAUUGGUGCAUAGACAGGGCUGCACGACUUUUUGACGCAGGACUGUUGUCAGUGGAAAGUAUGGAGCGGUUAGCAUCAAAAGGGGCAGAAGAUGGCAGGCACAAGGCUGCUAAUGGAAGUUAAAAGGAGGCAGGAUGAACGUUGCUGCCUUUGGGUGCUUGCUGUGAGACAGAAGGCACAUCUGAAGCUCUAUUAUUGCUCUUGCUUUCCUGGAUUCCACCAUGUUUGUUUUUCUCCAGAAGAAGACAUCUUCCCUGGUCCCCUCCCCAGCUAGCAUUGGUCAUAGCUGAAGGUGAGGCUAUCAGAGGGAGAUAGGUCCCAUAUCUGAGGCCCAACCCAAUGGGAGGUGAAUUGUGCCUUUGCAUUUAACUGACACUUCUUUGAAAACUAUUUCAUUUAUUUAUUCCAUUUGCAAUACAGGUGGUGACCAUUUUAGAUGCAUGGUGUUAUGUAUUAAGAUUAACUGCAGUUCUCACUCAGGGCCACCAGUAUGCAAAUGAAGGGUUGAGAACUGUCGCUCACUGAUUGGUUACUUAGUUGGAAGUUGUUACUGUUACAAGUUGCUUAAUAUUACAUAAAACAGCCAGCUAGGCUGCAGUGUGUCAGACUCCAGGAGCAGUUCUAACUGCUGUGAUAAAGAGCUGUGAAUCUAACAGAGCUGUGUUCUUCAUCCAUCUUUCCCACUAUUUAAUACAUUCCAAUUGAUGUGUGAUCACCAAUGUGUGGGUCCUUUCGAACCCGGAAGAGUGGGGGACGGGGCGGAGUGUAACAGGGCAGGGGCGCUUAUGCACACGGACCGGGAACAGAACUCCCAUGCGAAAUGGUUACCACCUGUAUAAAUACACAAAAAUACCAUAGAAACAAACACAAUAAGUCCUCCCCCCUACACACAGUUUCAAAGGCCUGGGAGAAGAGGAAUGUUUUUGCCCGGCACCUAAAGAUAUGAAGGGACACAGGUAGCGCUGUGGGUUAAACCACAGAGCCUAGGACUUGCUGAUCAGAAGGUCAGCGGUUCGAAUCCCCGCGACGGGGUGAGCUCCUGUUGCUCAGUCCGUGCUCCUGCCAACCUAGCAGUUCGAAAGCAUGUCAAAGUGCAAGUAGAUAAAUAGGUACCACUCCGUUGGAAAGAUAAACAGCGUUUCCGUGCGCUGCUCUGGUUCACCAGAAGCAGCUUAGUCAUGCUGGCCACAUGACCUGGAAGCUGUACGCCGGCUCCCUCGGCCAAUAAAGCGAGAUGAGUGCCGCAACCCCAGAGUCGGUCACGACUGGACCUAAUAGUCAGGGGUCCCUUCACCUUUAAAGAUAUGUAAUGAAGGCGCCAGGUGAGUCUCCCCGGGGAGAGCAUUCAGCAAAUGGGGAGCCACAGAAGAAAAGGCCCCUUCUAUCGUUGCCGCUUUCUGGACCUCUUGUAGAGGGAGCACGUGAAGAAGGGCCUCAGCUGAUGAUCACAGGGUCCUGGUCAGUUCAUAUGGGGUGAGGCGGUGCAGCUACAUUUUUCUGUGGGGAAGUCUGCUUGUUUUCACCCCCACCCACUCCUGUCUUUCAAAUUCUGCCUUAGCCAAGAGGAUUUAAAACAAACUGAACAAAUGAGGAUGAAGAGCAAAGGUGACGUGGACAGAAGAUGGUUACCUUUUCCUCCUAUUCUGUGGUCCUGGGGAAAACCUCUCCUCUGAAGCUAGUAUCUGCAUUUGGCAGGGAAACUGUAUUGACAACAAAUCCCACUGCUGCAAAAAAUCAUCAGCCCUUCCUCAGAGAAUGCUGCAUGAUUUAUUUAUUUUUCUUUCCUAAAACGUGUGCACUAAAUACCAUGACACAUUUAACACCAUGUCUGGUUUGGUCCUGAGGCCAUCAGACUGUGGGGGAGGAUGCAACCCAGCAGCCACCCAUUAUGACACUGGCCACCAGGUUCACAAGAAGCUGCUGCUGUCAUGCUUCCAUUUUCCAGUUUGAGAGUUGGGCUCAUGUACCCUGCUCCCCAUUUAUCUCAUUUCAGGGGAUGAAUAUACUUUGGAAGGGGUGCAUGUGAAGAAGCAACUGUGCUGUACUGUUCUCAAGUCUUGAAUGAAUAUUGGUUGGACCUGGGGAGCAUUGGAGGGGUUUGGGUAUUUGGGCAAUAUAUGGAAGAAGUUUAUUGGGAGGAAGAUACUAGACUGGAGUUCUUAUUUUAAAACAGGUGGUCAAGAGAGUGGAAGAGGCAGCUUCAGGAAGGAUGAAGAAAUGGUAUGAAAAAUCAGUUUGAGAAAACAUUAAAAUAUUGCAAACCUCCAAGCUUUGGGUAUUAAGGCAGCUUAAAUAAAUAAAUAUCUGACAUGGCAGAACUUCUCAAAAGUAGCAUGUGUCAAAUGUGACUUCACCAUCUUAGAUUGGCAUCCGUUGGAGCUGGUUAUUUUUAGAAUUGGCAAGAUAAGCGUCUUUCCAUCCAUCUCCAUGUGGAGGUCUAUUCUAGCUUUGUGAUCAUAGCAACAAGGAAAUAUUCACAUAUUUCAAGUUGUGUAUUUUAUAUUAUAGAAAUAAAUAAUAUAGUGGCCAGGGAUGCAAGAGGACACUUGAUUUUAUAAAGUUGUUACUUGGUUAUAUACAUUCCGUGAAUCGUUUGUUGAAUGAAACUUUUCCUAAACUGUGCUAGUUUAAGCUGCAGGUGACAGAAACAUAAUUCUGAUUGCUCCUGGCCAUCAAUCCCUACACAGUACAUGUGAAGGAAGAAGCUGGGCUGAACUCUUCUUCCUGACACGCUAGUUUUCCACACACAGGAAAGGUCAUGUUCUAAAGUACAUCGUUCACACAGAUCAGACCUUGACCCAGGUCUACUAAGCCUCAACAUCACCCCAUGAAGACUGAAUAAACAUCAUAGAGGGAGAUUAUAGUGGGAGAUAAGAUGAAUUUAAAAAAAUGAUUCCGUUAUUAACCUGUAACCCCAGGGUUUCCUUGCAGAUAGUUUGAGAACCACCAGGUUGGCACACUGAGAAUUACAAGACAGAUGCAAAUAAUUCAUUGUGCUGCUCUGCAAUCUCCUUAUCCUCCUUAAGCACACAUUUUACUCCCUUCUCAUCCAUGGUUCCAAUUGUCACUCAAGAUGGUAUACUGCAAUUAAUAUAUUUUUUAUAAUUAUGGUUUGCCUUAAUCUUUUGAGUAAUGUG
RNAcentral lists this long non-coding RNA (4054 nucleotides) under Podarcis lilfordi (Lilford's wall lizard). Lineage: Eukaryota; Metazoa; Chordata; Lepidosauria; Squamata; Lacertidae. The record is from RNAcentral.